Molecule: ribosomal RNA, 97 nt
Filed under: uncultured bacterium
Lineage: Bacteria
Description: partial 16S ribosomal RNA
Rfam family: Bacterial small subunit ribosomal RNA
Source: RNAcentral
CGCCGCGUGCGGGAUGAAGGCCUUCGGGUUGUAAACCGCUUUCAGCAGGGAUGAAAACAGACAGUACCUGCAGAAGAAGCCCCGGCUAACUACGUGC